GAUGAACGCUGGCGGCGUGCCUAAUACAUGCAAGUCGAGCGAACGGACGAGAAGCUUGCUCUUCUGAUGUUAGCGGCGGACGGGUGAGUAACACGUGGAUAACCUACCUCUAAGACUGGGAUAACUUCGGGAAACCGGAGCUACUACCGGAUAAUAUUUUGAACCGCAUGGUUCAAAAGUGAAAGACGGUCUUGCUGUCACUUAUAGAUGGAUCCGCGUUGCAUUAGCUAGUUGGUAAGGUAACGGCUUACCAAGGCAACGAUGCAUAGCCGACCUGAGAGGGUGAUCGGCCACACUGGAACUGAGACACGGUCCAGACUCCUACGGGAGGCAGCAGUAGGGAAUCUUCCGCGAUGGGCGAAAGCCUGACGGAGCAACACCGCGUGAGUGAUGAAGGUCUUCGGAUCGUAAAACUCUGUUAUUAGGAAAGAACAUAAGUGUAUGUAACUGUGCACAUCUUGACGGUACCUAAUGAGAAAGCCACGGCUAACUACGUG
This 497-nucleotide ribosomal RNA is filed under the name uncultured bacterium. Its description in RNAcentral is "partial 16S ribosomal RNA". It matches the Rfam family "Bacterial small subunit ribosomal RNA", at positions 28 to 507 of the family's 1533-position model. The record is from RNAcentral.